Molecule: ribosomal RNA, 326 nt
Filed under: uncultured eukaryote
Lineage: Eukaryota
Description: partial 18S ribosomal RNA
Rfam family: Eukaryotic small subunit ribosomal RNA
Source: RNAcentral
CCCUUAGAUGUUCUGGGCCGCACGCGCGCUACACUGAUGCAUUCAACGAGCCUAGCCUUGACCGAGAGGUCCGGGUAAUCUUUGAAACUGCAUCGCGAUGGGGCUAGAUUAUUGCAAUUAUUAAUCUUCAACGAGGAAUGCCUAGUAAGCGUGAUUCAUCAAAUCGCGUUGAUUACGUCCCUGCCCUUUGUACACACCGCCCGUCGCUCCUACCGAUUGAGUGUGUUGGUGAGGAGUUUGGAUUGGCCUCGGAAGGUGGUUCGCCACCGUCCGUAGCUGAGAAGUUCUCCAAACCGCCCCACUUAGAGGAAGGAGAAGUCGUAACA